GUAGGUGGCAAGCGUUGUCCGGAAUUAUUGGGCGUAAAGCGCGCGCAGGUGGUUCUUUAAGUCUGAUGUGAAAGCCCCCGGCUCAACCGGGGAGGGUCAUUGGAAACUGGGGAACUUGAGUGCAGGAGAGGAAAGUGGAAUUCCACGUGUAGCGGUGAAAUGCGUAGAUAUGUGGAGGAACACCAGUGGCGAAGGCGACUUUCUGGCCUGUAACUGACACUGAGGCGCGAAAGCGUGGGGAGCAAACAGGAUUAGAUACCCUGGUAGUCCACGCCGUAAACGAUGAGUGCUAAGUGUUGGGGGGGGUUUCCCGCCCCCCCGUUCAGUGCUGCAGCUAACGCAUUAAGCACUCCGCCUGGGGAGUACGGUCGCAAGACUG
RNAcentral lists this ribosomal RNA (379 nucleotides) under uncultured organism. Its description in RNAcentral is "partial 16S ribosomal RNA". It matches the Rfam family "Bacterial small subunit ribosomal RNA", at positions 527 to 896 of the family's 1533-position model. The record is from RNAcentral.